RNAcentral lists this long non-coding RNA (2585 nucleotides) under Micromonas pusilla. Its description in RNAcentral is "long non-coding RNA (MPUS_LNC000136)". The record is from RNAcentral. Lineage: Eukaryota; Viridiplantae; Chlorophyta; Mamiellophyceae; Mamiellales; Mamiellaceae.
GAGAUCAGCAGACGCGUUGAUGCCAGAUCAGAAUUUCUUCCCCGAGCGCGUGGUCAACACGCGCGGCACUCUGGCACGCGCGCGCUCCUCACCGAGCGCGCGAUCCCAGGUCGGACCGACGCCACGAUGGUCCACGCACGCCGCGGCGACGCGGCGAUGCACGCAUGAGAGAUGCGACGGUUCAGAGAUGGAGAGAUAGGUGCGUCGCGACGCGCGUCUCCUCGCGCAUUCGUUCUCGUCUGACGCAACGACCGAAUUUCAACCCUAAAUCUCCCCCGCGGCCCCUCCGCCCUCCUCUCCCGCGUCGCAGCUAGCGUCUAGUACGCCUCGCCCUCGUGGUCUCGCGUUCGCGGACCCGAGUUCACCCCGAACGCCGCCCUUUCACCCUGCCGCCGAUUUUGGCGCGCGUGUCUCCGAUGGUUUCACUCAGAUCUCGCGCGAUCGAAUUUCGUUCCCGAGUCGAGAAUUACUCCUUCGAGCGUUGGUUGGUUCCCGCCGCCUCGCCACAAGACGACAGUGUUGUUCCCAGUGUCACGUCCACACAGGAGUUCACUCACGCGUUCACACCGAUGGAAACAUCUGGCACUCUCACACGGCUGUAAGACGCGACGCGCCGCGUCCGCGCGUGCUCAGACUCAAGAUCACUAGACGCCGGUUCGCAUUCAAUUCGUUCCCGUCUACUUCACUCUUGCCGCGAUACGCAUCGAAUGCUUCGCUUGAUUUGAUAUCUUCCACGAUUUCAUCGCAUCACACGACUGGCGCGUUGGCUCGUUUGGAUCGCUUCACGGUGUACCCCAGGCAGGCGACGAUCAGAAUUCUCGGUAAGACCCGGCGCCGCGGCCCGGGCGCGACGCAAGACGCGACACCGCCACGUGCAGCUGCCGUGGCGAUCGCACCCCACAGGUUGUUGUUCUGGUGUCGCCUACCCUUCGGGGAGGCGACACCAGACACUCCGACAUACCCCUUCAGGUUGUUGAGCCCCCUUCGGGGAUGGCCACGCCUCAUACCCCAGGUUGUUGACCCCCCCUUACGGGGCUGGCGAGAUCGUAUCACUCCGGAACAUCAAGGUGCACGACGAUUCUUUCCACGUUAUCACCACGAUUACUCCACCAGGUGCACUUCUACUGGCGACGAACCCGUGCGAGAAGAAAUAUCCGUGCGACGAAUCCGCUUCGACGACGACGACGUAAGUCCACGACACAUUUGCGUUAUCACCACGAUUACUCCAUCAGGUGCACGACGGCUACUCGUUCGAGAACGUCAAGAUCCGGUCACUCUGAGAUACCGACGAAAGACUCCCGACUUUAUUACGUCAAGCCUCCCUCCGCGGGACGGUCACGAGCUCAUCAGCCGAUUACGGUAUUUUACUACUUCAGCACUGCGUCGUUAUUAGGCUUCUUCAUAGGCCCGACCAGUCAGCUCCAGAUACAUAUAUCUUGUGUUUUCCUUGGUCAUCAUCCAGCGUGAAGGUUACAGCUGUGUUCAUUCUUCCGUUCAGUUUUAUCUUCGUCGGCUUCGUUCCGCUUCAGUAUUUUUCUCUUGUACCGCUCACGUGUUCAGCAGUUAUCACAUCGCGCGCGCUCAUCGCAUCAGGACAUUCGAUCACAGCGUAAAGUACUUCAUUCGUUCAUUACGUCGCACUCACGAGUUUACUGCAUUGCUUUCACUCAUCGAUCAUUUCGCUCAUUUCGCUUGAAACUUCGUCGCACGACACGUCACGGAAAAUUAUUCACUCAUCGGUCUUCACGCGCUAUCAUCACGAUACAGUUAAGAUUAGAUAUUCGAACGUUUUCUGUUUAGGUUCUUGUGCAUAGGUUUCAUUAGGAGCUUAUAUUGGUGUGUGUUGUGUUGUUGUUGUGUGUGUGUUGUUUAUACGCUGUGGGUUGGUUUGGAUGUUCCGCGGACGGGCGCGACGACGACGGUCGGUACGGUGUACUUUUUCUGCCGCUGAUUCUUCCUUUUGGAUAGUUCACGCGCGCUGCUUUUGUUUGCGUUCUGCCGGCGAUGCCUUCUGUUCCAGAUUCUGGGUGACUUUCUUCGUGUUUUUUUGCUUCCCUCACCGUUCUUUUUGCUAUGUGUUCACCACUUUCGAGUCGCGACUUUGCAUUUUUUUCAAUUUAGCGUCGUCGGGAGGUCAGUGUGAUGGUUACUUGUUUUGCCGCUAAUGUGCUUAUCAGGGUCCUAUUCUUUGGUUGGUUUCCGUUAUCCCCCGAUGAUGGCGCGCGUUUUAUACCGCGCCGGAGGGUCUCUCGUUCAUCGCGCCCGCGAACAACGGGCCGGCGGGGUUCGCAGCCCCGGCGAGAGGUGGGGAUUCGACGCGAAACGAGACGCGCUUCGGAAGGAUGGAUUGGAUCGGCGGAGGGAUAAAAACGAAACGUCGCGAUUCGACGCCGCGGCGGCGACCGCGCGCGCGGAGGGGCGCGGCGUUCGAGCCUAGCAGAUCGAUCUGUGUGCUAUCGACGAUCGAUUCAUCCGUUCUAAUCUACGACUCGAUCGCGCCUCGGCGUUCCCCCGCGCGCGCGGAUGACGCCGUCUUCGCGCGAACGAAUUCGCUUUUUCCCGCCGCGCCCUUCCGCGUCUGCUAG